UUGCCUACGGGGGGCAGCAGUGGGGGAUAUUGCACAAUGGGGGGAACCCUGAUGCAGCGACGCCGCGUGGGUGAAGAAGCGCCUCGGCGCGUAAAGCCCUGUCAGCAGGGAAGAAAAUGACGGUACCUGAAGAAGAAGCCCCGGCUAACUACGUGCCAGCAGCCGCGGUAAUACGUAUGGGGCAAGCGUUAUCCGGAUUUACUGGGUGUAAAGGGAGCGUAGGCGGCGAUGCAAGUCAGAAGUGAAAGCCCGGGGCUCAACUCCGGGACUGCUUUUGAAACUGUGUUGCUAGAUUGCAGGAGAGG
Molecule: ribosomal RNA, 305 nt
Filed under: uncultured bacterium
Lineage: Bacteria
Description: bacterial SSU rRNA
Rfam family: Bacterial small subunit ribosomal RNA
Source: RNAcentral